GACAUUGAUAUCCAGCAGCCGGCAUCAGAAACAAUUGAAAUUAGUGAAACUCUUAGGCCGAAUAUUUUGCCAGGUGCAAGACCAUGGAACAGAUGGCGCCCUAGGCCUUCGUGGCCACUUCGACCAAGGCCAAUAGAACCAAUACGCCCAGCUGGUGUCGGAUGGCCUUUAGGAUCAACAGUUAUUGAUGAAAGAGUACCAUCAUUACUACAGCCAGUUCCAGAAGUUGAAACCAUAGAAACAAUAGUUGAACCAGCUGAAAAUGUAGUCAUUGUGAAUAACGAGAUAGGACGACCAGGUCCAAUCGUAUCUCCUACAUGGCCAGUACCAGGUAUUGAUGUAAUCACUUCGGAGACGAUUGUAAAUGAUAACCCUUAUCCAUCUACGGAAGAAAUAGUUGUAGAUACCUCGGUGCCAGUGAACGUUCUUCCUAUCCCAGGAGUGCCAUCUGUUAUUCCACCAGCUUAUGAAGUAAUUACUGCCGAGACAGUCGUAAAUGGAAGACCUAUUAUCAGUUCUGAAGAAAUUAUCAUAGGUA
Long non-coding RNA from Achroia grisella, 538 nucleotides. RefSeq lists it as uncharacterized. NCBI's taxonomy places the organism in Eukaryota, Metazoa, Arthropoda, Insecta, Lepidoptera, Pyralidae. The transcript is spliced from 5 exons. The record is from RefSeq and is a predicted model, not a curated record.